AGUGAACGCUGGCGGUAGGCCUAACACAUGCAAGUCGAACGGCAGCACAGUAAGAGCUUGCUCUUACUGGUGGCGAGUGGCGGACGGGUGAGGAAUACAUCGGAAUCUACUUUUUCGUGGGGGAUAACGUAGGGAAACUUACGCUAAUACCUCAUACGACCUACGGUUUAAUCCAAGGGUUCUUGGACCUUUCGCCGUUUCAUUUGGCCGAUGCCGGAUUACAUAGUUGGGGGGGUAAAGGCCCACCAAGGCGACGAUCCGUAGCUGGUCUGAGAGGAUGAUCAGCCACACUGGAACUGAGACACGGUCCAGACUCCUACGGGAGGCAGCAGUGGGGAAUAUUGGACAAUGGGCGCAAGCCUGAUCCAGCCAUACUGCGUGGGUGAAGAAGGCCUUCGGGUUGUAAAGCCCUUUUGUUGGGAAAGAAAAGCAGCAGGUUAAUACCCCGAUGUUCUGACGGUACCCAAAGAAUAAGCACCGGCUAACUUCGUG
Molecule: ribosomal RNA, 492 nt
Filed under: uncultured bacterium
Lineage: Bacteria
Description: partial 16S ribosomal RNA
Rfam family: Bacterial small subunit ribosomal RNA
Source: RNAcentral